RNAcentral lists this ribosomal RNA (463 nucleotides) under Capnocytophaga cynodegmi. Its description in RNAcentral is "bacterial SSU rRNA". It matches the Rfam family "Bacterial small subunit ribosomal RNA", at positions 9 to 474 of the family's 1533-position model. Lineage: Bacteria; Pseudomonadati; Bacteroidota; Flavobacteriia; Flavobacteriales; Flavobacteriaceae. The record is from RNAcentral.
GAGUUUGUUCUGGCUCAGGAUGAACGCUAGCGGCAGGCCUAACACAUGCAAGUCGAGGGGUAGAGUGCUUCGGCACUUGAGACCGGCGUACGGGUGCGUAACGCGUGUACAAUCUACCUUUUGCUAAGGGAUAGCCCGAAGAAAUUUGGAUUAAUACCUUAUAGUAUUAUUUGGUGGCAUCAUUGAAUAAUUAAAGCUACGGUGGCAAAAGAUGAGUACGCGUCCCAUUAGCUAGUUGGAGUGGUAACGGCACACCAAGGCUACGAUGGGUAGGGGUUCUGAGAGGGAUGUCCCCCACACUGGUACUGAGACACGGACCAGACUCCUACGGGAGGCAGCAGUGAGGAAUAUCGGACAAUGGUCGGAAGACUGAUCCAGCCAUGCCGCGUGCAGGAUGACGGCCUUAUGGGUUGUAAACUGCUUUUGUAUGGGAAGAAUAAGGUCUACGUGUAGAUUGAUGACG